GUACAUAAUUUUAGAUAUAUUCAUUUUUUAUACUUAAUGGUAAAUUACAUUUAAGUCCUCCUUUGUACGCCCUUUCAAAACGGCCUCUGCUACCCUAACGUAACUCGCCUAAUCUUCUAGAUGGUCUGCACCUUGAUCUGUAAUACUAGUUUGCUUACUAUAAGAUAAUAUAUUAUAUAUUAUCUGCUGACGACGGCAUACAAAAUAUUACAUGAAGUAGAUUACCUUGGUGGUUAUCAAUUACUUGGUAAGUUCCCCUAAAUUUUAAAAUUACCGCCAUGCUAUUUGAGUUUGGGCCAUGUUGGCCUUAGUACUCAGUGGUUUUAUUGUGGGUAUUGUAUAAAAGGGUAUCUAAUCCUUGUUUAUGGGCAAUAUUUAUAUUAUUUCUGCUUUAUGGAGUCUAUAAAUAUUAUUUCACCAAUAUUUAUAUAAAAGCUUUAUUCCGCACUUUUCUACCAUUCAUUACUAUAGAAGUCUGACCGCGACUGCUGGCACUUUUUAAGUCAUAGUAUGUAUAAUUGGUUUAAUCUUACUUCCGUAAAUUUAUAAAUUUGCUUGCCUGGUUUACCCUAAUAGUACCAUUAGUAUCCUAUUUUAUAUGAACGUUUCACCAU
RNAcentral lists this ribosomal RNA (614 nucleotides) under Euhadra decorata. RNAcentral's name for it is "partial 12S ribosomal RNA". Lineage: Eukaryota; Metazoa; Mollusca; Gastropoda; Stylommatophora; Camaenidae. The record is from RNAcentral.